This 93-nucleotide transfer RNA is filed under the name Eremothecium cymbalariae DBVPG#7215. It matches the Rfam family "tRNA". From Rfam's summary of the family: Transfer RNA (tRNA) molecules are approximately 80 nucleotides in length. Their secondary structure includes four short double-helical elements and three loops (D, anti-codon, and T loops). Lineage: Eukaryota; Fungi; Ascomycota; Saccharomycetes; Saccharomycetales; Saccharomycetaceae. The record is from Rfam by way of RNAcentral.
GCGGAUUUAGCUCAGUUGGGAGAGCGCCAGACUGAAGUCAACCUUGGAUAACUUGUAAUCUGGAGGUCCUGUGUUCGAUCCACAGAAUUCGCA